Molecule: ribosomal RNA, 433 nt
Filed under: uncultured bacterium
Lineage: Bacteria
Description: partial 16S ribosomal RNA
Rfam family: Bacterial small subunit ribosomal RNA
Source: RNAcentral
AACGAACGCUGGCGGCAUGCCUAACACAUGCAAGUCGAACGAGACCUUCGGGUCUAGUGGCGCACGGGUGCGUAACGCGUGGGAACCUGCCCUUAGGUUCGGAAUAACUCCCCGAAAGGGGUGCUAAUACCGGAUAAUGUCUUCGGACCAAAGAUUUAUCGCCUUUGGAUGGGCCCGCGUUGGAUUAGCUAGUUGGUAGGGUAAAAGCCUACCAAGGCGACGAUCCAUAGCUGGUCUGAGAGGAUGAUCAGCCACGCUGGGACUGAGACACGGCCCAGACUCCUACGGGAGGGAGCAGUGGGGAAUAUUGGACAAGGGGCGAAAGCCUGAUCCAGCAGUGCCGCGUGAGUGAUGAAGGCCUUAGGGUUGUAAAGCUCUUUUACCCGGGAUGAUAAUGACAGUACCGGGAGAAUAAGCUCCGGCUAACUCCGUG